GAUGAAGAACGUAGCGAAAUGCGAUAACUAAUGUGAAUUGCAGAAUUCAGUGAAUCAUCGAAUCUUUGAACGCACAUUGCGCCCUUUGGUAUUCCAAAGGGCAUGCCUGUUCGAGCGUCAUUUGUACCCUCAAGCUUUGCUUGGUGUUGGGCGUCUUGUCUCUAGCUUUGCUGGAGACUCGCCUUAAAGUAAUUGGCAGCCGGCCUACUGGUUUCGGAGCGCAGCACAAGUCGCACUCUCUAUCAGCAAAGGUCUAGCAUCCAUUAAGCCUUUUUUUCAACUUUUGACCUCGGAUCAGGUAGGGAUACCCGCUGAACUUAAGCAUAUCAAUAAGCGGAGGA
Molecule: unclassified non-coding RNA, 341 nt
Filed under: soil metagenome
Description: partial contains 5.8S ribosomal RNA, internal transcribed spacer 2, and large subunit ribosomal RNA
Rfam family: 5.8S ribosomal RNA (bases 1-120)
Source: RNAcentral